GAGGGUAUAGCUCAAGUGGUAGAGCACAUGCUUAGCAUACACGAGAUCCUGGGUUCAAACCCCAGUAACUCCU
RNAcentral lists this transfer RNA (73 nucleotides) under Camelus bactrianus (Bactrian camel). It matches the Rfam family "tRNA". Rfam says of the family: Transfer RNA (tRNA) molecules are approximately 80 nucleotides in length. The record is from Rfam by way of RNAcentral. Lineage: Eukaryota; Metazoa; Chordata; Mammalia; Artiodactyla; Camelidae. RNAcentral also lists the same sequence under 1 other name.